AAAUGUUUCGCGAUUGUCCGUGAAACCGCUUGAGAACGGGAGGCGUGCGCUCGAUGAGGCGUGACGUUUUUCGACCCUAGCCCGGACCACUACAUUAGCAAAGGUUUGCAAAAAAAUACCCAUCGUCUUCUUUCAUGUUGGUCGAUUCCGUGCGGAUAAUCCGGCUCGAGGCUCGAAACAGUUCCUGGUCCGACUUUCAACCCUUUGGGUGCUUUAUCGUGCUGGCUGAUCGGCCCUACACAUUUGUGAUACUCCGUUCCGCAUAGCCCUGGCUCGGACGUUUAAUACUCUCGCUCGUCUCCUGGUACGAGCAGCGCGUGAUGUAAUUAAAUCGACUUUCGUGGGUCGUUGGUAGAUGGUCGAGGGUGGUGGAGGAGUGUGGAGGGAUCAGGGGGUGGAUUAAUCAGCGAAGAGCGGAGGAGGGGUGGUGGUUCCGUUGAUAAGGAUCACGAGGGUGGUGGUGUACGAAUUUAAUAAGGAGGGAGGGAGGGGGAGGAAAUCAAUCUCGAUUUAUUAUCGAGGCUGAUCCUACCUUUUUUCUUCUUUUUCCUUUUUUUUUUUUUUUUUUCCACGUUAAAAAAAAAAAGAGAAGGAGGGUUACGACGACGAUAAGACGAUAAAGAGGAAAGAGAAUCGAGAGCGCGAAGGGAGUAGGGGUGGGGAAGGAGAAGGAGGAGGAGAAGAAGAAUAAAGAAAAGAGAAAAUACGAAUUAAAAAAAAAAAAAAAAAAAAAAAACGAUGCUCGCGUCGCUCGACAUUGCGCCUGUACCAUUUUGCUUCUUUAGCAGAGUACAAUGCCAUUUAUUUUUGUAAUACGUUUACGUAGGAUAGCUAUUAUUUUUAUAGAGGUUUACCGUGCUACCAGUAAGUCUUAUAGAGGCCUGCGAAAAAUAAAAUAGUGUAGGAUUUUUCAUAGCGGAUUCCACGAGAUGCGAGAAUAUUAUUGAUAAAAGUCACUUGGAUGGAUUUUCGAUGAAUUGAAAAGAAAAGAAAAAAGGACACGCACUUCCAGUACUGGCUUUUAUUUUCGACUUUCGUUCGACGACACACGUUUUCACACACGUUUCUUUUAUUACGAGAUUUAUACGUACGUGCAACCAAAGCACCCGGAGCAAUGCUUCUUUAGAGGAACGUCAUCAGGAAUCAAGCACAAGCAAUCCGUAUUUUAACGCCACGAAAUCUUCAUUAGGAUAAAAAUUUGUUGUAGUUCGAUGCAUAUAUUUUAGAAAAUGGGGAAAAUACAGAGCAAUAAAAGAAAGGAAUAUAAAAUAGAGAUAUUUCUUUCUUACGUGAGACAUAAGGCGAUUUUUACCGCAUCGACGAUAAUUUCGCCGAUCCUGAAUAUUCAUUUUUUUACCCGUUAACGAUCGAUUAUCGUAGAGGCGGUACAACGUAGAAAGUAACACGCAAUAUUUCUUCCGCUAAUUACUGCUUUUCGUGAAAUUAAUCCCGGAUGAAACUUCCGAACAAGCCUCUUGACGCGUGUCACGUGAUAAUUUUAAGAUAUUUCAAGAUAAAAAAUGGAAAAAAAACAUAAUAAGGCCGUAUAUAUAUAUAUAUAUAUAUAUAUAUUGAUAAAAUAUAUUUUCAAUAUUUUUCUAUAAUAUUAUCUUUUCAUUUUUAAAAGUAUAUUCUUCGCGAAAGAUUAAUUCAUGACUCGAUAUUGUUUUUUUUUUUUUUCAAGUUGAAAAGUAAAGAUCGUUUCAAGAGACUUGUCACGAACAAGUGGUACAAUUUUCUAAUCAAACAAGAUCAAAUCACAUUAAAGCUAAUAUAUAUAUAGAAUACAUACCUUGAUGCCAUUAUAACGUAAUAAAUAAUUAAAUUAUAGAGCUAUCGAGUCAAAGAAAAUCGCGAAUAUGCGAUACGCGCGAAAAACUUCGAAAAGAAGUUAACCUCUCUCUUGUCGAGCAGUAUUGCAAACGAUGUUUCGUUCGAAGCGUAUCGAUAUUUUUAUAAACGAGUUUGCUAUCUUCAACUAACUUCUCGCGCGUUUCGCCUUGCGAUAUUUCAGAGAUCUCCGUUUCUAACGUCUUCCCCAAUUUUAUUGGAAUUAUUCCAUUGUUUUUUGUUUGGAUAAUGAUUUUUAAUCAAUAGAAACAAUCGAAAUUCGAUUUAUCACAAACAAUAUAAAAGUUAUACAGAACUCAUGUACACAUACAAUGGUCAAAAUCAAUACUUGUAUGGUCUGCAAUAAACCUGGGGAUUUACUAAAUCAAAGAAAAAAGGAGAGAGAGAGAAGAAAAAAAAAAUAAAGAAAAAGUAAAAAAAAAAAGGAAGAAAAUAAAAAGGGGAAAGAUUGAUUGGCUCGUUAGAGCGUAAGUACUAUAUACAGACGUAAGAUUUUUUAUUGCUGAUAUUUUUCCUCAGGUCGAGUCUUGAACGGUGCCUAAAAAGCUUUGAUUAAGGAGAGAUCAAGAAAUAAAAAGCAAGUUCUGAAUUGCGUGUCAAUGAACUUUUUUUAGAAACAAAAAAAAAAAAAGAGGAAGAAGAGAAAAAAAUGGGGAUUAAUUUAUUGGAUUCUCGCGGUGUGUCGUUUCGCGUUGUCCUCGGCAAAAAAAAAAAGAGGAAACAAGAUUGUACGAUUCGAAGAGAAAGAAAAUGAAUUAAAGAGAAGAAAGGAGAAAGCAGGAAGUUAAUAACAAAAAAAGAAAUUAGAUGAUCGAUUCAUCAAAGGAACAAAAGAUUCUGAUGCGACACGACGAUAAAGAUAAGAUAUACCUAUAUACAUACCGUCGAUGCGUAGAAAGUACCAUGUCAUAUAUAUGUAUAUUAUAUAUAACAAAAAUACGCGCGUGUGUAUGUAUGUAUGUGUACGAGUGAAUUUGCAUAUUUGAAAAAUUUGUGUGCGUAUGAGUGUGCGUGAAAUGUUAAAUAAAAGGAUUAUGUAGUGCUCCAUUUAAGGAAAGCACGCAGGCUGCGGCGAAAAUUGUGCUGCAACCGGUUAUAGAAUUAUUUUUCUGUCAAAAAGUAGGUCGACUGUGCCAUGGAGCAAGUUUUCUUCGGUCCAAAGUCUUAUCAAGAAAAUGAACUUUCAAUAUUGUAAAAUAUGCAUAUAAUUAGUUUUCAAGAAAUGAAAUGUGUAUUGUAAAACAAGUGCAUGAAAAGUAUAGGUAAAUAUAUUUUUUUUCUAACAGUAUAAGGUUAUGUUUUUAUUAGGAGCAUUAAAAUUUUUAUUAAAAUUUGAAAAUUCGAAUAAUCAAAAUUUUAAAUGAAUGACGAAACAAUUGAAUGUGAAAAAAAUAUUUGUCGAAAGAAAUCGAUUAUUAAUUUAUUAAAAGAGGCACGUAUUUUACGAUAUUACACGAUUUCUUCGAAUUAUGUAAAAUGUGUAACACGAAACAAAUUUGCUCCAUGAUAUUGCUUAUUUUUACACAGAAAAUAUGAUUUAGUUUCUAAUAGCAGCACUACUUUUGACGCAUCUUGUCUAAUCGAAGAGAAUAAUUUAAAGCUAACAGAUCUAAUAUAAAGGACAAUGAACAAGUAGAUAGGUUACGCCGAUACAUGUAUGUACCUAUAAAAUAUAAGACGAGAGUACGCACUUUUGUAAUAGUAGUUUUGAGAAAUAAAAACGAAAAAAGCGAUAAAUGAUAGUGAAUGAUAUAUAUAUAUGAUAUAUAUAUCACAUAUAUUAGAUAUAUAAAUAUAAAGAAGAAAAAAAGAGUUGACGCUUGAUACACCAUAGUUUUCACCGACAUAUCCUGGUUGAACACAUCCUCUUUACGUACAUACUGCAUACUAGUUCUUAUUAUGAUACCACCACACGAUUACUACACGAGAGUAUAGGGUAUUUUACGAAUAAAAAUGACGAUAAUAUCAUUAUUAUUAAUUAUUAUUAUUGAUUGUCACAGAUUAUUAUUGUUUAUUACGGUUCUUGAUUAAUUAUCGUAUCAUUACGAUUAUGAUUAUCGAGAAUAUAAAUACGUAUAAACGUAACGAUGGUACAACUAAGGCAAGUAUGUACUGUACAUAGCUGUCACUUACCCUCUGCCCCACCAUGCAACUAUAUAAAUAUAUAAAUAUAUAAAUAAAUCUCUAUAUAUAUAUAAAUACAUAAAGCCAUUAUAUUGCAAAACAUUAAUCAUUGUUGUACUAAUGAUUAUUUUGAAAUAUUAUUGUCUUUAUUAUUAUUAUAAUUAUAAUUAUUUUAUCGUAAACAAUUGUAAUUAUUAUUAAUAUUAUUAUUAUUAUUCUUAUUAUUAUUAUUAUUAUUAUUAUCAUCGCUACUUUAUAUGAUUAUCGCGAUAAGAAUAUGUCAAGGCCGCGUGUAAUUUUAAUUAGCAUACGAUAUUAUCAUUUGCGAAAGUAGAUCCUCACUCUUAGCUAAGGAAGAUAGAAAAAUUGUAUUUUCACUUUCUUCACAGAUUGGAUUCUACCUCACUUUUAUUGAUACUACCAUUGAACGACGAAGAAAGUAUGAAAAC
This is an unclassified non-coding RNA of Apis florea (little honeybee), 4424 nucleotides long. The record is from RefSeq and is a predicted model, not a curated record. Lineage: Eukaryota; Metazoa; Arthropoda; Insecta; Hymenoptera; Apidae.